Molecule: ribosomal RNA, 234 nt
Filed under: uncultured bacterium
Lineage: Bacteria
Description: partial 16S ribosomal RNA
Rfam family: Bacterial small subunit ribosomal RNA
Source: RNAcentral
UGGCGGACGGGUGAGUAAUGUCUGGGAAACUGCCUGAUGGAGGGGGAUAACUACUGGAAACGGUAGCUAAUACCGCAUAACGUCGCAAGACCAAAGAGGGGGACCUUCGGGCCUCUUGCCAUCGGAUGUGCCCAGAUGGGAUUAGCAGUAGGUGGGGUAACGGCUCACCUAGGCGACGAUCCCUAGCUGGUCUGAGAGGAUGACCAGCCACACUGGAACUGAGACACGGUCCAG